CUUGACGACCAUAGAGCAUUGGAACCACCUGAUCCCAUCCCGAACUCAGCAGUGAAACGAUGUANGAAUUCCGAAACCCCUCAUCGCUCACGCGAUGAGGGGUUUUGUCGUUGUGG
This 116-nucleotide ribosomal RNA is filed under the name Pseudomonas syringae pv. actinidiae ICMP 19070. The record is from RNAcentral. Lineage: Bacteria; Pseudomonadati; Pseudomonadota; Gammaproteobacteria; Pseudomonadales; Pseudomonadaceae.